AGAGACUUAGGAUAACACUAGACCAAAGGCCUUCAAAGCCUUUAGUGGGAGUGAAAAUCUCCCAGCCUCUGAAUAAGACUUGCAGGACACUAACCCAC
This 98-nucleotide transfer RNA is filed under the name Periophthalmus modestus (shuttles hoppfish). RNAcentral's name for it is "tRNA-Trp". The stretch from base 1 to 71 matches the Rfam family "tRNA". From Rfam's summary of the family: Transfer RNA (tRNA) molecules are approximately 80 nucleotides in length. Their secondary structure includes four short double-helical elements and three loops (D, anti-codon, and T loops). Further hydrogen bonds mediate the characteristic L-shaped molecular structure. tRNAs have two regions of fundamental functional importance: the anti-codon, which is responsible for specific mRNA codon recognition, and the 3' end, to which the tRNAs corresponding amino acid is attached (by aminoacyl-tRNA synthetases). tRNAs cope with the degeneracy of the genetic code in two manners: having more than one tRNA (with a specific anti-codon) for a particular amino acid; and 'wobble' base-pairing, i.e. permitting non-standard base-pairing at the 3rd anti-codon position. The record is from RNAcentral. Lineage: Eukaryota; Metazoa; Chordata; Actinopteri; Gobiiformes; Gobiidae.